Molecule: non-coding RNA, 1528 nt
Organism: Macaca mulatta (Rhesus monkey)
Lineage: Eukaryota; Metazoa; Chordata; Mammalia; Primates; Cercopithecidae
Source: RefSeq, a predicted model, not a curated record
CUCCUAACCUCGUGAUCCGCCCACCUCGGCCUCCCAAAGUGCUGGGAUUUCAGGUGUGAGCCGACACCCCGGCCUGAAAUUAAAGGUUUCUUAAGCGGCUGCCCACUGUGUGUGGUGAACCCGGGGCCAGAACACAGGUGGGACGCAGCCUCCCGAGCGUCAGAAGCCGCUGGCUCCACACGCCUGUCCGUCUAGUAAACGCGUUUUGGAGUCUCUGAUGGACGUGACUCUGAAUCCGGAAAGAAAGUGUCUCACUCCGAGAUGCUGACCGACGUGUCCUGUAUGGCGGUGGGACUCGGGAAGCCGGCGGCGCCCAGGGUGCAGGAUGGUCGUGACGCCCCUCGAUGGGGACACGGUGUAAAGGCGGCGUGGAAACUCAGCUCACGACCUUACGAUAAAUUGUAAAAUAAGGUUUUUACCUGGUGAGAUGAAAAGACCGGCAGGAGACUGCACCCCGGUAGGAUGAACAGAGGAGACUUUUAAACCUGAAGAAAUCGUCCAAAAAGCGACCACACGUUGGUGUCCUGCUUCGAGCUCCCCCCAAGAAUCUAAGCUUGGCCACCUGGGGCCCUAGGAAGGUACUGACAUUGUUCGAAGAACCGGUGCCUCCCGGCCAGAGCCGCUGUCUGGGGAUGCACGCCCUGUGGUCUCAAGCAGUCGUCUGUCCAGGACUUGCUCUGGGGAAGCAGACCUGGUCCCAGGCCACAGAGCUCGUCCCAGGGCUGCCCUGCCCUCCCACCCAGCCCAGUACACACACGGUUCCCUGGCCUGGCCUGGGCCCGAGCCUCUCGCAUGGUGGCGCUGGGUUUGGGACCCGAGUGUGGCCUCCGCAGAGCAGGCUCAGCCUGGCCCCACCCUACCCGAUCCCUGUCCGGUCCCCUCCCCAGCCUCCUCUCCUGGGCAGCCUCCCGAGGGGACCCGCAGGCAGGGCAUAGGAGGGCGGGGCCAAGCCCACUGGACCCCGGCAGAUGGCCACGGGCGCCCUUACCUGCCCAGCCCACAAUGUCCUGGGAGCCUGGGCCAGGAAGCAACAGUGGUGACCUGGCAACCAUCUCCUGGCAACCACCGUGGCAACUGUCUCCUGGCAACCACCACGAAGCCGGAGCCCAGAGUCCAGGACGAGGUGCUGCUGUGCCCUCCUCUGCAAACAGGAACGGGGGCUCAGAGAAGUCAGUGCCCCACAGAGGGGAACUCACAUCUGUCCGUCCAAACUGCACCAUUCUGUAAGCCCUCGCCGUGUCACAGACCUCGCGAAAGUGAAGCGUUCAGUGGGAGUUUGGGCCGUGAGGGACAGCCCACCCGACCUGACGUGAUCACACUCUGCUGGGAAAAACUCCAAGAACAUCACGAUUACCUUCUGCGGGAACAAGGGCCAUCAUGAAGCCCUACGGCCCAGGCCCCUCCCACCCAUACCUACGGGCACCCCAGCCCGUAGGCAGCGGUGGGCUCUGGCAUCAAGCUGGUCCCCGCCUGGCAGGUGUUUGCAGUGUACCUGUGUUGCUGUAAAGCUGCCCUUUAUCUGUGUGUG